RNAcentral lists this ribosomal RNA (939 nucleotides) under uncultured bacterium. RNAcentral's name for it is "bacterial SSU rRNA". It matches the Rfam family "Bacterial small subunit ribosomal RNA", at positions 53 to 984 of the family's 1533-position model. The record is from RNAcentral.
ACAUGCAAGUCGAGGGGCAGCAUGAUUGAAGCUUGCUUCAAUUGAUGGCGACCGGCGCACGGGUGAGUAACGCGUAUCCAACCUUCCGUACACUCAGGGAUAGCCUUUCGAAAGAAAGAUUAAUACCUGAUGGUAUGAUGAGAUUGCAUGAUAGCAUCAUUAAAGAUUUAUCGGUGUACGAUGGGGAUGCGUUCCAUUAGGUAGUAGGCGGGGUAACGGCCCACCUAGCCUACGAUGGAUAGGGGUUCUGAGAGGAAGGUCCCCCACAUUGGAACUGAGACACGGUCCAAACUCCUACGGGAGGCAGCAGUGAGGAAUAUUGGUCAAUGGACGAGAGUCUAAACCAGCCAAGUAGCGUGAAGGAUGAAGGUCUUACGGAUUGUAAACUUCUUUUAUAAGGGAAUAAAACCUCCCACGUGUGGGAGCUUGUAUGUACCUUAUGAAUAAGCAUCGGCUAACUCCGUGCCAGCAGCCGCGGUAAUACGGAGGAUGCGAGCGUUAUCCGGAUUUAUUGGGUUUAAAGGGAGCGCAGACGGGUCGUUAAGUCAGCUGUGAAAGUUUGGGGCUCAACCUUAAAAUUGCAGUUGAUACUGGCGUCCUUGAGUGCGGUUGAGGUGUGCGGAAUUCGUGGUGUAGCGGUGAAAUGCUUAGAUAUCACGAAGAACUCCGAUUGCGAAGGCAGCACACUAAGCCGUAACUGACGUUCAUGCUCGAAAGUGUGGGUAUCAAACAGGAUUAGAUACCCUGGUAGUCCACACGGUAAACGAUGGAUACUCGCUGUUGGCGAUAUACGGUCAGCGGCUUAGCGAAAGCGUUAAGUAUCCCACCUGGGGAGUACGCCGGCAACGGUGAAACUCAAAGGAAUUGACGGGGGCCCGCACAAGCGGAGGAACAUGUGGUUUAAUUCGAUGAUACGCGAGGAACCUUACCCGGGCUUAA